This 750-nucleotide long non-coding RNA is filed under the name Triticum aestivum (bread wheat). RNAcentral describes it as "long non-coding RNA (TAES_LNC007477)". The record is from RNAcentral. Lineage: Eukaryota; Viridiplantae; Streptophyta; Magnoliopsida; Poales; Poaceae.
AGAACUAAAUUGGGGAAACAUUGCAUCAAAAAAAAAACAUAAACGGUAUUGGCACGAUUACAAUAAUUAUAAUAAUGACGAUGGUUCAAAUACAUUACUAUUUUUAACAGAAAAUAGAUAGAAGAUGCGACUUAAGCUAGGUUGUCAUUAGGUUUAUAGACAACUCGGCAUCUAACAUGGUAGCUAUUACAAUGAACUACGGUGGACUGCAGCAUCUCCACCCAGAUAAGACAUCUUCCAAACCAGCAGAAAACAGUUUCUCUGCGAUAAAGCAGUAAGCUAAGCUCGGUCACUUGUCCAGUAUUGUGCUCGUGAUCAGAGACACAACAAGUUCCGGCUUCUUCAAUUGAGCAGCAGCCAUGCCAUGAUACAAACACCAUCGUUGGACCAUCUACAGCAGGGACCAACACCCAAGAUCCAUCAAGAGCCGCAUCAGACAAUGAUGGGCAACCAAACCAGAAACGGCAGCAUCAUUCAGCACCAAUGACCACAAAGAUAACAGCAUCAUUCAGCAGUCUGGAAACAGAAGGCAUGUCAUCAAAAGUGCUUGGCAUUGGCUGCAUUGGUGGAAGAGAUCCACUUGCUUCGAAAGUUGAUUGAGUAGCACCAACACCGUAGUGACUGCCAUUAGUUGAUUGAUCAAGUGGGUACUGCAAAAACUGAUUGUUUGGCACAGACAAAUCAUAGGAGAAGCUUCCACCAGGCAGAUCAUAGGAAAAGGUUUCACCAGAAAAAUCAUAGGAGAAGGUU